This 229-nucleotide small RNA is filed under the name Propithecus coquereli (Coquerel's sifaka). RNAcentral's name for it is "7SK RNA (ENSPCOG00000011069.1)". The stretch from base 1 to 183 matches the Rfam family "7SK RNA". From Rfam's summary of the family: 7SK was discovered as an abundant small nuclear RNA in the mid-70s but a possible function has only recently been suggested. Two independent studies have found that 7SK RNA binds the CDK9/cyclin T complex (known as elongation factor P-TEFb). Lineage: Eukaryota; Metazoa; Chordata; Mammalia; Primates; Indriidae. The record is from RNAcentral.
GAAUGUGAAUGACAUCUGGCUACAGCACCCAUGACCCAGGUGAUUUUAGGUUGAUUUUCUCACCUGGGUGGCUAGAAGGGAGUUCUUUAUCCCUCAUAAUUCCAAGUGGAGCCCUGCAAAAGCUGAAUACUUGGUCAAAAAGGGAAAACCUUCCAAAUGGAGGAGGCCCUGUCUUCAGUCAGAAAAUGAGUUUCAGAUAAGUGGAGGUGAGGGAGGAGUCCCUUUUGCU